CCCUUAGAUGGUCUGGGCCGCACGCGCGCUACACUGACGAAUGCAACGAGCUUAUAACCUUGGCCGAAAGGUCUGGGUAAUCUCCAAAUUUCGUCGUGAUGGGGAUAGAUUAUUGCAAUUAUUAAUCUUCAACGAGGAAUGCCUAGUAAGCGCAAGUCAUCAGCUUGCGUUGAUUACGUCCCUGCCCUUUGUACACACCGCCCGUCGCUCCUACCGAUUGAAUGGUCCGGUGAAGCGCUCGGACCGCGGCCUCUUGACGGUUCGCUGUCGAUUGGCUGUGGGAAGUUCGUUAAACCUUAUCAUUUAGAGGAAGGAGAAGUCGUAACA
This 327-nucleotide ribosomal RNA is filed under the name uncultured eukaryote. RNAcentral's name for it is "partial 18S ribosomal RNA". It matches the Rfam family "Eukaryotic small subunit ribosomal RNA", at positions 1470 to 1796 of the family's 1831-position model. The record is from RNAcentral.